GGGGCGGCGGGCGUCAGUACAGUAGAGUGUGCGCCGGGGUGGGGGGCAACGGUCAGCCGUCACCCUGAGACGGGCGGCGGCGGGAUGGCAACAGCCUCCGGGGCCUCGGACUUGUCUGGCUCCGGAGCGCCCCCGCCCGGUGUGGGAGCUCAGGCGGCGGCGGCCGCUGAGGAGGAGGAGCGAGAGGUGGUGCGGGUCCGAGUCAAGAAAUGUGAGAGCUUCUUGCCGCCAGAGUUCCGCUCUUUUGCUGUAGAUCCCCAGAUCACCUCGCUCGACGUGUUGCAGCACAUCCUCAUCCGAGCCUUUGAUUUGAGUGGGUGAGUGGGAAGAUGCUGGGGACUGGCCAGUGGGCCACCGACCUCUACAGUGGCUAUCUGGCCUUUGUUUGGAAGAAGAACUUUGGCAUCAGCUACCUGGGCCGGGACCGGCUAGGACAGGAAGUUUACCUCUCACUUCUAUCUGACUGGGACCUCAGCACAGCCUUUGCCACUGCCUCCAAACCUUACCUGCAAUUGCGUGUAGAUAUUCGGCCCUCGGAGGACAGUGGAGGGACAGAGUUUCACUCUCAUUGCCCAGGCUGGAGUGCGAUGGCGCGAUCUCGGCUCACUGCAACCUCCGCCUCCUGGGUUCAAGUGAUUCUCCUGCCUCAGCCUCCCAAGUAGCUGGGAUUACAGGCCCAUUGCUAGAAGACUGGGACAUAAUCAGCCCCAAAGAUGUCAUUGGCUCCGACGUGUUGCUGGCUGAGAAACGGUCAUCACUGACGACUGCCGCCCUGCCCUUUACACAGUCCAUCCUCACUCAGGUGGGCCGUACCUUGUCUAAGGUCCAACAAGUGCUGAGCUGGUCGUAUGGGGAAGAUGUCAAGCCCUUCAAGCCACCCCUGAGCGAUGCUGAGUUUCACACGUACCUGAACCACGAGGGCCAGCUCUCCCGACCCGAGGAGUUGCGCCUGCGGAUCUAUCAUGGCGGUGUGGAGCCCUCGCUGCGAAAGGUGGUGUGGCGGUACCUGCUGAACGUGUAUCCAGAUGGACUGACAGGCCGAGAGCGGAUGGACUACAUGAAACGCAAGAGCCGCGAGUAUGAGCAGCUCAAGAGCGAGUGGGCCCAGCGAGCGAACCCUGAGGACCUGGAAUUCAUCCGCAGCACGGUCCUCAAGGAUGUACUGCGCACUGACCGGGCCCACCCCUACUAUGCGGGGCCUGAGGAUGGCCCACAUCUACGGGCGCUGCACGACCUGCUCACCACCUAUGCCGUUACCCACCCACAGGUGUCCUACUGCCAGGGCAUGAGUGACCUUGCCUCACCCAUCCUCGCUGUCAUGGACCAUGAGGGCCAUGCCUUUGUUUGCUUUUGUGGCAUCAUGAAACGCCUGGCCGCCAACUUCCACCCUGACGGCCGCGCCAUGGCCACCAAGUUUGCACACUUGAAGCUGUUGCUGCGACACGCUGACCCUGACUUUUAUCAAUACCUGCAAGAGGCAGGCGCUGAUGACCUCUUCUUCUGUUACCGCUGGCUGCUGCUGGAACUCAAGCGUGAGUUCGCCUUCGACGAUGCCCUCCGCAUGCUUGAGGUCACUUGGAGUUCGCUGCCCCCUGAUCCUCCUGAACAUGAGGUAGAGCUGGUUGGACCCCCCAGCCAAGUGGCAGACGCUGGUUUUGGUGGCCACAGGGGGUGGCCCGUGCGACAGAGGCACAUGCUGAGGCCUGCUGGUGGAGGAGGUAGUACCUUUGAAGAUGCUGUUGACCACCUGGCCACAGCCAGUCAGGGGCCUGGUGGUGGGGGGCGUCUCCUGAGACAGGCCAGCUUGGAUGGCCUCCAGCAACUCAGGGAUAACAUGGGCUCCAGGAGGGACCCUCUGGUCCAGCUGCCCCACCCAGCUGCCCUUAUCAGCUCCAAGUCCCUCUCUGAGCCUUUAUUGAACUCCCCAGACCCACUGCUCUCCUCCUUUUCCCACCCUGAUUCCCCAUCUUCCUCAUCUCCACCAUCCACCCAGGAGGCCUCUCCCACUGGUGAUAUGGCUGUAGGAUCCCCCUUGAUGCAAGAGGUAGGCUCCCCGAAAGACCCUGGAAAGUCCCUGCCACCUGUACCACCAAUGGGCCUGCCCCCACCCCAGGAGUUUGGCCGGGGGAACCCAUUCAUGCUGUUCCUCUGCCUGGCCAUCCUGCUGGAGCACCGCGACCACAUCAUGCGCAAUGGGCUGGAUUAUAAUGAGCUGGCCAUGCACUUUGACCGCCUUGUGCGAAAACACCACCUGGGGCGCGUCCUGCGCCGGGCUAGGGCUCUCUUUGCUGAUUACCUGCAGUCAGAGGUGUGGGACUCAGAGGAGGGGGCUGAGGCCACAGCCGCAUCUUGAUCAGGCUUUCUCAAGCCCUCCAUCGGCCCCACCAGAUCUCCAUUCUUUGCCAUGAGGGCCAACACAUGAGACCCCACCUCCCUCCCUGCCUGCCAGCCCUAGACUUGUUGGAGCAUAGAGCCCUUCCUCCCCAGGCCUAAGUAUGUGGAGCUCUGCUUUGGCACUGCCCCGCAGAGGCCACGCCUAUUUAUUCUGUUUCUGUUGUUUUGUUUUUAACAACUAUACUUUGCACACAUGAAGGUCACUGUGGUUUGUGUGUUUCUCUGCCUCCUCCCUGGGUUUUGCUGUAGAUGGAGUCCUCAGGGGCCCUUUACCUGAUGGAGGGGAAAUACUUCACUUGGUGGAGAGAGGCUCCAGCUUCCCCCUUGUGAUGGGGAGAGUGGAUGCUGACAAUCAGUUCCCAAAGGUGAGCCCAGGUGGAGCACUGCUUGAGGAAGGCCUGAGUCUGUUUUUUUGGUACAUCCAUCGGCCUGUAAGGGUCUGUAUUAUGGCUGUGAAUAUAUGUUUUCAGGACAGCCCCCUGGAUGAGAGAUAAGAGAGUUCCUGGCUCAAAAAAGGACAAGAUUCUUUACUGAGAUUGGGAAGUAUGGGCUACUUAGAAACGUUGGAGCAGCCACCCCUGGCAUUCCACAUGUCACCAUUUCUAGGAUCUUGGCCUCUCUGUGAGGUUUAUGCACCAAUGCUGGCAGCCCUGGGCAGGGGCCUCGGCCUCCUUUUUGUUUUCCACUUCAGACAGGUACCGUGCAGAUGUUAACAAGGUUUGAGCGAGGUGCAUCUCACACAAGUGUGAAAGCCCAAUCAUCACAUUGUUGAAUUACAAAAGGAUCUAGGGCUCCUAUUCUUGUCACUUGCUUUGGAGCCAGUUUGAAAGACUGGCCUAGCCCAUGCCUAGCGGCCCUAAACUGGGAUUCCAGCUCACAGCACCUGUCUUAACCAUUUCAGCAGUAGAAACCACUUAUUUACCUUCUCCAUCUCACUAAUAUGGACAAACAACAAGCACUGAUAAAACGCAGGCCCUAAUAGAAUUCACUUCGUUAUUUGGAGGAUAAUGAUCAAAAAAAGGUCCUUUUUCCCACUGACAUGCUCAGAGGGUGGGAUUCUCUCACAGGCCAGGUGCUGUCAUCCACAAAGGAUGGGUGAAAUAACUGGGGUCCUCAGGUCACGGUCUAGCCACACCAGCUUCUCCCAAGUACUAACCAGGCUUGACCCUGCUUAGCUUCAGAGGUCAGACAAGAUCUGGCAUGUUCAGGAUGGUAUGGCUGUAGACCAGGCUGGGUUCUGGCCAGAGCUGUUGCACUAGGCAAUGCUGCCAGAGAUGAGGAGGCAUCAGGGCAGUCAUCCCUUCUGCUGUUUGCCCCAAGAAUGCCAUACAAACCUGGGGAUGACCCUUAAAAGUCUCCCGUCACCCCCAGUAUUGGGGGGAAGCUGACUAUUCCUCAGAUGAUAGCCCAGUCACUUGAAGAACAGGACAAGACUAUUCUGUGUCUAGGGGGCUCAAGCACUGUGUGUGGGUCUAACGAAUGCAUUUUGUGGAAAUGGGCUCAGACUCCCCAAAGGGCCAUCCAACCUAUGGGAGUGUCUGGCCUUCUGAGGUCCUGAAAUGUCUCUUUUGUCAGUAAACAGCUAAUACCCUC
Homo sapiens (human) is the source of this 3987-nucleotide RNA transcript. It is a transcript of the gene named TBC1 domain family member 25, with no coding region annotated. The transcript has 7 exons. The record is from RefSeq and is marked reviewed. Lineage: Eukaryota; Metazoa; Chordata; Mammalia; Primates; Hominidae.